Molecule: ribosomal RNA, 503 nt
Filed under: uncultured bacterium
Lineage: Bacteria
Description: partial 16S ribosomal RNA
Rfam family: Bacterial small subunit ribosomal RNA
Source: RNAcentral
AUUGAACGCUGGCGGCAGGCUUAACACAUGCAAGUCGAGCGGGGUGAUGGUGCUUGCACUAUCACUUAGCGGCGGACGGGUGAGUAAUGCUUAGGAAUCUGCCUAUUAGUGGGGGACAACAUCUCGAAAGGGAUGCUAAUACCGCAUACGUCCUACGGGAGAAAGCAGGGGAUCACUUGUGACCUUGCGCUAAUAGAUGAGCCUAAGUCGGAUUAGCUAGUUGGUAGGGUAAAGGCCUACCAAGGCGACGAUCUGUAGCGGGUCUGAGAGGAUGAGCCGCCACACUGGGACUGAGACACGGCCCAGAAUCCUACGGGAGGCAGCAGUGGGGAAUAUUGGACAAUGGGGGGAACCCUGAUCCAGCCAUGCCGCGUGUGUGAAGAAGGCCUUAUGGUUGUAAAGCACUUUAAGCGAGGAGGAGGCUCUUUUGGUUAAUACCCAAGAUGAGUGGACGUUACUCGCAGAAUAAGCACCGGCUAACUCUGUGCCAGCCGCCGCGGUAA